This is a non-coding RNA of Capsicum annuum, 74 nucleotides long. NCBI's taxonomy places the organism in Eukaryota, Viridiplantae, Streptophyta, Magnoliopsida, Solanales, Solanaceae. The record is from Rfam.
AGCGGGGUAGAGGAAUUGGUCAACUCAUCAGGCUCAUGACCUGAAAAUUGCAGGUUCGAAUCAUGUCCCCGCCU